CCUACGGGAGGCAGCAGUGAGGAAUAUUGUCAAUGGGCGCGAGCCUGAACCAGCCAAGUCGCGUGAGGGAAGACGGCCCUACGGGUUGUAAACCUCUUUUGCCGGGGAGCAACGGGCGCCACGUGUGGCGCCACUGAGAGUACCCGGAGAAAAAGCAUCGGCUAACUCCGUGCCAGCAGCCGCGGUAAUACGGAGGAUGCGAGCGUUAUCCGUAUUUAUUGGGUUUAAAGGGUGCGUAGGCGGAGCGUUAAGUCAGUGGGCAAAUUUGGGGGCUCAACCCCUUCCCGCCAUUGAAACUGGCGCUCUUGAGUGGAAGAGAAGUAUGCGGAAUGCGUGGUGUAGCGGUGAAAUGCAUAGAUAUCACGCAGAACCCCGAUUGCGAAGGCAGCAUGCCGGCUUCCUACUGACGCUGAAGCACGAAAGCGUGGGGAUCGAACAGGAUUAGAUACCCGAGUAGUC
This 459-nucleotide ribosomal RNA is filed under the name uncultured bacterium. RNAcentral describes it as "partial 16S ribosomal RNA". It matches the Rfam family "Bacterial small subunit ribosomal RNA", at positions 338 to 795 of the family's 1533-position model. The record is from RNAcentral.